This 69-nucleotide transfer RNA is filed under the name Epiplatys togolensis. Its description in RNAcentral is "tRNA-His". It matches the Rfam family "tRNA". Rfam says of the family: Transfer RNA (tRNA) molecules are approximately 80 nucleotides in length. Their secondary structure includes four short double-helical elements and three loops (D, anti-codon, and T loops). Lineage: Eukaryota; Metazoa; Chordata; Actinopteri; Cyprinodontiformes; Nothobranchiidae. The record is from RNAcentral.
GUAGGCAUAGUUUAAUCAAAACAUUAGAUUGUGAUUCUAAAAAGAAAGGUUAAAACCCUUUUGCCCACC